GUCUCAGGCCAUAUCAGCCUGAAGGCGCCCGAUCUCGUCUGAUCUCGGAAAGUGAAAGAGGAGAGAGAAGAAGUAGGCUUAAAUCUCAACAUUCAAAAAGCUAAGAUC
Ribosomal RNA from Bison bison bison, 108 nucleotides. The record is from Ensembl. Lineage: Eukaryota; Metazoa; Chordata; Mammalia; Artiodactyla; Bovidae.